CGAGACAUGUCGUCAUUUCACCUGUGUUUUAUCAACGGACGACAGUGGAAACGUUGUCGGAACACAGACUCAGGACGAGCAAGGGUGUGCGGGAAUAAACAACCCUAAGACUUGUCAUGAGGUGGGCGACACUUGGUUGGAGUUUUCCCGUAUGGACAGGACUUGUUUGCAGUACACAUGUACGACGAAAGGACCGACUGUACAGGUUCCAAAAGGAGCAUGCUUCCAUGAGGGAGAGUGUCUUAAAAAUGGAGAGGAACAUGAUGAGGAACAUGCACAAUGUUUCUGUAGGGACGGGGACCUUU
Mizuhopecten yessoensis (Yesso scallop) is the source of this 305-nucleotide long non-coding RNA. RefSeq lists it as uncharacterized. The record is from RefSeq and is a predicted model, not a curated record. NCBI's taxonomy places the organism in Eukaryota, Metazoa, Mollusca, Bivalvia, Pectinida, Pectinidae. The transcript is spliced from 3 exons.